GGGGAAGUAGGGGAAGUUGAAAUUUUGAAUAUUAGCCAUUGCAGUGGAAAUAUUUGCUUGCUAAAAGCUUAUAUUGAGUAAGCUGUCUGUAUGAUGUUUAUUGUUAGUGUUGAGUUGGGGAUAUAUAUUAGGUGUUAGUAUGAUAAUACUUGUAAGGUUCUUGUGACUUGAACCUCAGUCUAAGUUUUGCCCGGUUGUCAUUGGUUGCAUUCCAAAACACUCAUUUCUUCAUUUUUCACGGCGGUCAUGCUAACCACAGUUUCAUACAAUAAUCAUAUCUAUGAUUUGACAACUAAUUGAACCUUCUUUCUCCUCAAUGUUAUAUUAUGCCAUAAAUGGUUCCUGUAUAGAUUCUUGCCUGUUGGAUGAGAGCUCCCAGUCCCAAAACCCAUUGUGCUGCAUCUUCUGAUGUUAGGGAGGCGAACUGUAGUUAAAAUAAUGUUUAGAACUUUCAGCAUGAAGUUCUUAUUUUAAUACUUGGGGUAAUAUAUUAGCGUGUAUUAUGUAUGAAUAGAUUUAACUAGAUGAAAAAUUGUUGAGCUAAACGUUACUAUUUGACUUUAAUGACGUCUCCUCCGUCUCUUUUUUGGUACUAUUGCUUUCUUCAUACAAAAUUAUUUGGCGUGGGUCUGAAUUUAUCUUACCUAAGUAAUUUGAAUUACUGAUUAUUUCUUUGUCUAACAUGAAGUAAAUUUUAUUUUAAUGAAUUUACUUUCAUGUAGAAUGGUGAAGACCUACCUCAAAUUUCCAAUACACAGAAAAAGAAAAAGGACAACAAAGAGAUUCAGUUGCAAGUGGGCCAGAGCUUCCCCAAUACCCCCUAAUCGACCAAACUAUAUGUACACGAGUAUAUGUUUUUUUGAAUGAUAGAGAAUUACGAUUUUGUUUUAUAUUUUCUUUUGUUUCGGUAAGAAAGUGAUAAAGAGAGACGUCUUCCAAAUGCACACUUGAUUCCCCCCCCCCCC
This 965-nucleotide long non-coding RNA is filed under the name Nicotiana tabacum (common tobacco). RNAcentral's name for it is "long non-coding RNA (NTAB_LNC000024)". The record is from RNAcentral. Lineage: Eukaryota; Viridiplantae; Streptophyta; Magnoliopsida; Solanales; Solanaceae.